This is a long non-coding RNA of Cebus imitator (Panamanian white-faced capuchin), 3408 nucleotides long. RefSeq lists it as uncharacterized. The transcript has 5 exons. NCBI's taxonomy places the organism in Eukaryota, Metazoa, Chordata, Mammalia, Primates, Cebidae. The record is from RefSeq and is a predicted model, not a curated record.
CUUAGAAAGGUUUAAAUAGGCAUGAAUUGAAAAUGAAGUAUAGUCAUCACUGACAGUGAGAGAUCAGAAGCAGGUCUAGAAUAAUUUUAAAGGCACAUUAAAGGUAGUAACUUGAAAUGCAAUAAAUUCUUGCCUCUGGUUUAUAUUCAGGCCCUGCAGUCAUAUAUGAGAGACAAGUAUUUAGUAGUUAAAGGAUUAACUUCCAACCCUUCCUACUAGAAUAUUGGCAAAAUCUGUAUAGAGUUGUCACUAAGUGAAACGUAUUGAUUUUUGCCUCUUUUCUGGCUGGAACCAUGGAGAGUGUUAAAGAGAAAAAGAAGGUUCCUGCUGUGCCAGAAACCUUUAAGAAAUAGCAAAGGGAUUUCAUAGAGCUGAAGAUCAAGCACCUGAGAAAGAAGUUUGCCCAAAAGAUGCUUUGAAAGGCAAGGAGGAAGCUUAUCUUUGAAAAAGUGAAGCAUUAUCACAAGGAAUAUAGGCAGAUGUACAGAACUUAAAUUCAAAUGGCUUGGAUGGCAAGAAAAGCUGGCGAUUUCUAUGCACUUACAGAAUCCAAAUUGGCAUUUGCCAUCAGGAUCAGAGGUAUCAAUGGUGUGAGCCCAAAGGUCCGAAAGGUGUUGCAACUUCUUCGCCUUCAUCAAAUCUUCAAUGGAACCUUUGUGAAGCUCGAAAGGCUUCAAUUAACAUGUUGAGGAUUGUAGAUCCAUAUAUUGCAUGGGGGUACCCAAAUCUGAAAUUAGUAAAUGAACUACUCUACCAGUGUGGUUAUGGCAAAAUCAAUAAUGAGAGAAUUGUGAAUUCCUUUGACAGAUAACACUUUGAUUGCUGGAUCUCUUGAUAAAUAUGGAAUCAUCUGCAUGGACGAUCUGAUUUAUGGGAUCUAUACUGUUGGAAAAUGCAUCAAAGAAGCAAAUACCUUCCUGUGUCCCUUCAAAUUAUCCUCUCCACAAGGUGAAAUGAAGAAAAAGACCACCCAUUUUGUAAAAGGUGAAGAUGCUGGCAACAGGGAGGACCAGAUCAACAGGCGUGUUUAGAAAGAACUGAGGUGUCUUCCGUAAUUAUUUUUCUAAUCUGGUCAGUUAAUAAGCAGUACAUGCUCUCAGAUUUUUAAAAAAAUAUUGAUUUUUUUCUUUUCUUUUUAAAUGUAUUCCCCUAAUUCUUUGUCAUUCACUGACUCUCCUCUAUGUUCUGUGCUAAUCACCUUCCGUUACUGUUUGUGUCUGAGUGGUUACUUUGCAUUGUCAGGAAUAUCUCCACCUCCUUCCCACCCACAGAAGAUUAUCAGUAUUUCCAUUAGAACUUACUUUCAAUUGUAAUCAGCAUCAAUUGUAUUUUUGCAUCUCUCUUCCCAUUUAGGAUUGUCAGAAUUUGUGCAGUUGCUGAAACUUAGAGAGUUGGAAUUUAUUCACUUACCAGUAUUUAUUGAGCUCCUCAUAUGUGCCAGGUGCUGCAGUACAGAGUUCCUGCUCUCAUGGAGCUUUUAGAGUAGACAAACUCCGUAAAAUGCCUGUUACUCUUGUUCCUUUCUCCUGGGAUAACUGAGGUGCAUUUCUCCUUGCCCAGCCUCCUUGUUCUGCAAGUUAUCUGCCAUGUUAAUGAGGUGGGAGAAAGUUUCAUACUCUGUUUUGGCAUAGAGGUGAGAGCAAAGAGAUGCCCAUUGUCUCCUUCACUGCACAGAACUCAUUCAUUCCUUAAUUCUUGUUGCUGUGUUGCAAUGUUGCCUCUUUGGCUCCAGAGGCACGUGUGAAGGAUGAAGUCUUCUCAUUUUUGUCAUUUCUUGCACAUUUUGUGUGUGUGUGUGUGUGUGUGUGUGUGUGUCAGUGAGAUGCACUAGGAGACUAGACUUCUCUAAGAGUGUUUAUAUUAUAUUAUAAAAUGAAUGAUAUUGAAAUAUAUGGACUUGAUAUUGAAAUACAUGGACUUUGAAUACUAGAGAAUUUAUUUGUGAACCAGAUAAACUGGGGCUAUAACCCUGACUCUUCUGCUUGUUAGCUAUGUGUCUUUAGGCAGUAUUAUUCUACGUGGUUCUCAGACUAUUUUCUCCUCUAUAAAACAGUCCAAAAAUAGCUCUCACUUUGGAUGACUUCUAUAAGAAAAGAGACAACAACCGUAAAGUCCCUGGGGUAGUGCCUCAAAUUUAGCACUGAAAAAAUGAAAGCUUGUGUAUUACAUUAUGCAAUUGAACCUAUUAUUUGUGUUCUGAUGCUAUAAAAGUUUAUCAAUAUUUAUUGAUUAUAUGCCAUACAAUUUCUGGGCAUGAUUCAAAGAUUAAGAGAAAAUAUCCAGAUGGGAUUAUCUUUUGGGGCAGAGAAAUCCAGGGAGGAAAAGGAAAAAAAAAAUAGAAAGAAGAUAAGAGAGUAAGAAAGAUAGUUAGGGAUUUCUUUGGUUGUAAGACGUUAAAGUCCAAUCAAGAUAGUUUAAACCAAGGUGAGUUUAUUAAAAAAACUCUUAACUAUUAAAAAAGGAUUUAGGGUCAGAAAAUGUGAAUGUGCUUCAUGAAAAAAUGGAAAGUUGUCAGUAAUUAGUAAGUAUUUGUUCUCUCUUAUGGUCUUGUUCUGGUUUUUGCUUUUUCUUUUCACAUGGUCUCAUGUUUCUAAUUGCUUCUGAAUGUCUGUUAAUUUGCUUUCUUCUGUCUGAAGUCUGGUUCUUUCUGCUUCUUCAUCAGCAUGAUUACACCCAAAUUGCCACCCUAGUUCCUAACAUAUCAGUAUCGUUUUAGCUUUUGCUGAUUCCCAGUUCUGGGAUUCUUAGUUCAAGUUCUCAAGUGAGUGGAUCUGAUGGGACCAGCAAAAGGAGCAGAUGUCCACCUGUGAUCCAAUCAGCUCAUAGCCAAGGAGGAAGGAGGUCAUGUGAUACAAACAGCUGGGACUGUAGUGUGAAGAGACAGCUCUUAGAGAAGAGGGCAUGAGCUGGCUCAAAGUGUUCAAGAUGGGGACUUCUCUAAACAAGUGGCUUAAUGUGAAGAUGAUUUUGAAUGUUUGGAAAUUCCAUGCUGGAUGUGUGGAAUGAAAGUGUCACUAUGUUAGGAGUGAGCUGUUAGUAUUAUGAAGACAAAAUGGUAUGGGGACCAUCACCUUGGGAGCAACUGUGAGCCACAGGGGAAGAAUUCCAAACAAUGGCAAGAAGGGCCAUUUGCCAGCACCAACACCAGAAGCUGGAAAUCUGUAGCAGUUUUGAGCAGAAGGCCUCACUUUCAAAUACCAUUACCUUGGGGUUAGGAUUUCAACACAAGAAUUUUGGGAAGACAUGACCAGUCAGACUGAAAAACACAUUGUUUCUAAGUUAUGUGUAGAAAGUUCAGUUAUUGAUGUCUAGCAGCUAUUAGAAAAUAUGAGACUGAAUAUAGAAAAUUACAAUUUAAUGAUCUGCAUUGGGGAGGCAUCCACACAUAGGUUAUAGGUUGAAGAUAGA